CCUACGGCAUCGAAGCAGUCUAUGUCAUACUUCCAAGAAAAGCUUGCACUGUCAGAAACAGAUAAUGCCUGUACCAUAACCGACACAGGUGGGUAGGUAGAGUAUACUAAGGGGCGCGAGAUAACUCUCUCUAAGGAACUCGGCAAAAUGACUCCGUAACUUCGGGAGAAGGAGUGCCUUAUUUUUAAGGUUGCAAUAACAAGAUCCAAGCAACUGUUUACCAAAAACACAGGUCUCCGCUAAGUCGUAAGACGAUGUAUGGGGGCUAACGCCUGCCCAGUGCCAGAAGGUUAAAGAAGUCGGUUAGCAUUCGCGAAGCUGGUAACUGAAGCCCUGGUGAACGGCGGCCGUAACGAUAACGGUCCUAAGGUAGCGAAAUUCCUUGUCGGGUAAGUUCCGACCCGCACGAAAGGCGUAAUGAUUUGGAUACUGUCUCGGAGAGGGGCUCGGUGAAAUAGACUUGUCUGUGAAGAUGCGGACUACCUGCACCUGGACAGAAAGACCCUAUGAAGCUUUACUGUAACUUGAAAUUGAAAUUGGACUUUAUUUGCGCAGUAUAGGUGGGAGGCGUUGAAAAUAUUCUUGCGGGAAUAUUGGAGCCAUCAGUGAGAUACCACUCUUGUAAUGUUAGAUUUCUAACUUUAUAUCAUUAUCUGGUUAAAGAACAGUUUCAGGCGGGCAGUUUGACUGGGGCGGUCGCCUCCCAAAUGGUAACGGAGGCGCACAAAGGUUUCCUCUGAACGGGUAGAAAUCGUAUCUAGAGUGUAAAGGCAUAAGGAAGCUUGACUGUGAGACCUACAAGUCGAGCAGGGACGAAAGUCGGUCUUAGUGAUCUGACGGUGCUGAGUGGAAAGGCCGUCACUCAACGGAUAAAAGUUACUCUAGGAUAACAGGCUGAUCUCCCCCAAGAGUUCACAUCGACGGGGAGGUUUGGCACCUCGAUGUCGGCUCAUCGCAUCCUGGGGCGGUAGUACGUCCCAAGGGUUGGGCUGUUCGCCCAUGAAAGCGGUACGCGAGCUGGGUUCAGAACGUCGUGAGACAGUUCGGUCCAUAUCCGGUGUAGGCGUUAGAAUAUUGAGAGGAGCCUUCUUUAGUACGAGAGGACCGAGAAGGACAUACCUCUGGUGUACCAGUUAUCGUGCCAACGGUAAACGCUGGGUAGCUAUGUAUGGAGUGGAUAACCGCUGAAAGCAUCUAAGUGGGAAGCCCACCUCAAGAUAAG
This 1222-nucleotide ribosomal RNA is filed under the name metagenome. RNAcentral's name for it is "bacterial LSU rRNA". It matches the Rfam family "Bacterial large subunit ribosomal RNA", at positions 1576 to 2808 of the family's 2925-position model. The record is from RNAcentral.